RNAcentral lists this ribosomal RNA (2220 nucleotides) under Escherichia coli. RNAcentral describes it as "partial 23S ribosomal RNA". It matches the Rfam family "Bacterial large subunit ribosomal RNA", at positions 729 to 2925 of the family's 2925-position model. Lineage: Bacteria; Pseudomonadati; Pseudomonadota; Gammaproteobacteria; Enterobacterales; Enterobacteriaceae. The record is from RNAcentral.
UCUAGCCAUGGGCAGGUUGAAGGUUGGGUAACACUAACUGGAGGACCGAACCGACUAAUGUUGAAAAAUUAGCGGAUGACUUGUGGCUGGGGGUGAAAGGCCAAUCAAACCGGGAGAUAGCUGGUUCUCCCCGAAAGCUAUUUAGGUAGCGCCUCGUGAAUUCAUCUCCGGGGGUAGAGCACUGUUUCGGCAAGGGGGUCAUCCCGACUUACCAACCCGAUGCAAACUGCGAAUACCGGAGAAUGUUAUCACGGGAGACACACGGCGGGUGCUAACGUCCGUCGUGAAGAGGGAAACAACCCAGACCGCCAGCUAAGGUCCCAAAGUCAUGGUUAAGUGGGAAACGAUGUGGGAAGGCCCAGACAGCCAGGAUGUUGGCUUAGAAGCAGCCAUCAUUUAAAGAAAGCGUAAUAGCUCACUGGUCGAGUCGGCCUGCGCGGAAGAUGUAACGGGGCUAAACCAUGCACCGAAGCUGCGGCAGCGACACUAUGUGUUGUUGGGUAGGGGAGCGUUCUGUAAGCCUGUGAAGGUGGCCUGUGAGGGUUGCUGGAGGUAUCAGAAGUGCGAAUGCUGACAUAAGUAACGAUAAAGCGGGUGAAAAGCCCGCUCGCCGGAAGACCAAGGGUUCCUGUCCAACGUUAAUCGGGGCAGGGUGAGUCGACCCCUAAGGCGAGGCCGAAAGGCGUAGUCGAUGGGAAACAGGUUAAUAUUCCUGUACUUGGUGUUACUGCGAAGGGGGGACGGAGAAGGCUAUGUUGGCCGGGCGACGGUUGUCCCGGUUUAAGCGUGUAGGCUGGUUUUCCAGGCAAAUCCGGAAAACCAAGGCUGAGGCGUGAUGACGAGGCACUACGGUGCUGAAGCGACAAAUGCCCUGCUUCCAGGAAAAGCCUCUAAGCAUCAGGUAACAUCAAAUCGUACCCCAAACCGACACAGGUGGUCAGGUAGAGAAUACCAAGGCGCUUGAGAGAACUCGGGUGAAGGAACUAGGCAAAAUGGUGCCGUAACUUCGGGAGAAGGCACGCUGAUAUGUAGGUGAAGCGACUUGCUCGUGGAGCUGAAAUCAGUCGAAGAUACCAGCUGGCUGCAACUGUUUAUUAAAAACACAGCACUGUGCAAACACGAAAGUGGACGUAUACGGUGUGACGCCUGCCCGGUGCCGGAAGGUUAAUUGAUGGGGUUAGCGGCAACGCGAAGCUCUUGAUCGAAGCCCCGGUAAACGGCGGCCGUAACUAUAACGGUCCUAAGGUAGCGAAAUUCCUUGUCGGGUAAGUUCCGACCUGCACGAAUGGCGUAAUGAUGGCCAGGCUGUCUCCACCCGAGACUCAGUGAAAUUGAACUCGCUGUGAAGAUGCAGUGUACCCGCGGCAAGACGGAAAGACCCCGUGAACCUUUACUAUAGCUUGACACUGAACAUUGAGCCUUGAUGUGUAGGAUAGGUGGGAGGCUUUGAAGUGUGGACGCCAGUCUGCAUGGAGCCGACCUUGAAAUACCACCCUUUAAUGUUUGAUGUUCUAACGUUGGCCCGUAAUCCGGGUUGCGGACAGUGUCUGGUGGGUAGUUUGACUGGGGCGGUCUCCUCCUAAAGAGUAACGGAGGAGCACGAAGGUUGGCUAAUCCUGGUCGGACAUCAGGAGGUUAGUGCAAUGGCAUAAGCCAGCUUGACUGCGAGCGUGACGGCGCGAGCAGGUGCGAAAGCAGGUCAUAGUGAUCCGGUGGUUCUGAAUGGAAGGGCCAUCGCUCAACGGAUAAAAGGUACUCCGGGGAUAACAGGCUGAUACCGCCCAAGAGUUCAUAUCGACGGCGGUGUUUGGCACCUCGAUGUCGGCUCAUCACAUCCUGGGGCUGAAGUAGGUCCCAAGGGUAUGGCUGUUCGCCAUUUAAAGUGGUACGCGAGCUGGGUUUAGAACGUCGUGAGACAGUUCGGUCCCUAUCUGCCGUGGGCGCUGGAGAACUGAGGGGGGCUGCUCCUAGUACGAGAGGACCGGAGUGGACGCAUCACUGGUGUUCGGGUUGUCAUGCCAAUGGCACUGCCCGGUAGCUAAAUGCGGAAGAGAUAAGUGCUGAAAGCAUCUAAGCACGAAACUUGCCCCGAGAUGAGUUCUCCCUGACUCCUUGAGAGUCCUGAAGGAACGUUGAAGACGACGACGUUGAUAGGCCGGGUGUGUAAGCGCAGCGAUGCGUUGAGCUAACCGGUACUAAUGAACCGUGAGGCUUAACCUU